Mercenaria mercenaria is the source of this 555-nucleotide long non-coding RNA. RefSeq lists it as uncharacterized. The transcript has 2 exons. The record is from RefSeq and is a predicted model, not a curated record. Lineage: Eukaryota; Metazoa; Mollusca; Bivalvia; Venerida; Veneridae.
UUUAGCAUGAAUUUAUCAACAGGUGGAGCUGUGGAAUGAUGUCAUUACAGAAAUAUACAGAUACAAAUAUUCUUUGUCUCAAAGUAAAAUGGAAAAGGCUGUGGAGAAAAAAUUCAAGAACUUGAAAGCUGAAGACCACAAUCAACUCACCAAGUCCGUGGUGCUAAGACAGAUGUUUGUGGAGAAGUUGUGAAUCCUGUGUUACCAUGUAUAGUUAGUUGAUGAGAGUGAAGAUAUUUCAGCAAUGCAAAGGAUGAAAGCAUAUUGUUUUAAAUUGGUAUUUUAAGAACCUUAUAAACAGACAUAUGUCCUAUUAUGAGAGAAACGUUUUAAAUGUUACAUUAUUGUGAACCUUUAAGAAGAGGACUUCCAUUGAUAUGAAGACACCUCAAUAGGGAGACUCAAAAAUAUGUAGUUUGUUGUAACAGUGUACAAUAUAGAUACCCUAUUGUUUCUUUUAUUGAUGUAAACAACCUUUUGUUAAGAAAUAUUAUUUUUAUUAUUAUAUGUAUACUUUAAGAACAGGAUUAAAAUUGCAGCAAAAAAAACAUCAAG